AAUUCUCAACCUUGAGUUUCGACUCUUGGAUUGGACUUUGGAGCGUGCUGGCGUCCCGCGUCGGCUCCUCUUAAAUGCAUCAGCGGAAAUCUAACCUUUGGCUUUUCGAACGUCAGUGUGAUAAUUGUGUUGCGCUGUCUUCAGAGUCGGAGUUUCGCUUACAGUGGUCUUCGGACAACUCUUAUCAA
Molecule: unclassified non-coding RNA, 188 nt
Filed under: uncultured Piloderma
Lineage: Eukaryota; Fungi; Basidiomycota; Agaricomycetes; Atheliales; Atheliaceae
Description: sequence contains ITS2
Source: RNAcentral